RNAcentral lists this transfer RNA (62 nucleotides) under Hemigrapsus sanguineus. RNAcentral describes it as "tRNA-Arg". The record is from RNAcentral. Lineage: Eukaryota; Metazoa; Arthropoda; Malacostraca; Decapoda; Varunidae.
AUUGGAAAGCGAAUAAUUGCAUUUAGUUUCGACCUAAAAUUUAGACCUAUAGUCUUCUAAUU